CUCGAUCUCACAACAUGAGCCAAACUCAAGAGAUCAUGACAUGAGCCAAACUCAAGAAUUGGGCACUUAACUGACUGAGCCACCCAGGCGCCCCUGAUUUGGAUUACUUUUAUUGAUUUCUAUUGCCUAAUUGUUUUGGCUAGGGCUCCAGUACUAUGUUGAAUAGAAGUGGUGAGAAUGGGUAUCCUUGUCUUGUUCCUGAUCAUCACUGAGUAUAAUGUUAACUGUGGGCUGUUAUAUAUGGUCUGUAUUCUGUUGAGGUACAUUCUUGUAUACCUACUUUAUGAGUAUUAUUUUAUCAUAAAAAGAUGUUGAAUUUUGUCAAAUGUUUUAUAUGCAUAUAUCAAGAUGAUCAUAUGAUUUUUACCCUUAAUUAUAUUAACGUGGUGCAUCAUGUUUAUGGAUUUCCUUAUGCUGAGCCAUCCUUGCAUCUCAGAGAAAAAUCAACUAAUAUUCGACAAGGAUGCCAAGAAUACACAAUGGGGGAAAUUAUAGUCUCUUCCACAAAUGCUGUUGGGAAAAAAUAGAUAUCAUAUGCAAAAAAAUUAAAUUGGACCCUUCCUUUACACCAUCCACAAAAAUCAACUCAAAAUGAAUUAAAGACUUCAACACAAGACCUGAAAUGGUAAAAUUCUUAGAGAAAAACAGAGCAGAUCUUUUUGAAAUUGGUCUUGAUGAUGUUUUCUUAGAUAGGACACCAAAAAUACAGGCCACAAAAUCAAAAAUAGACAGAUAAGACUACACCAAACUUCUGAAAAGCAAAGGAAACAAGAGAAUGAAAAGGCAACCUAUGGAAUGAAAGAAAAUAUUUGCAAAUCAUAUAUCUGAUUUGGGCUAUAUGCCCUUGAUCAACUGAGGUUUAUUAAUUAAUGUAAUUCACCAUACUAAAAGUCUGAGGAAUAAAGACCACUUAAUUAUAUAAAUAAAUGCAGAUAAACCUCAACAAAAUAAUAUAGCCAUUCAUGGUAAAACUCUAAGCAAAUUCGGAGUAAAAAAUAACUUCUUUGAGCUAAUAAAGGCAUCUACAAAAGCCCUACAGAUAACAUCAUAUUUAAUGAUGAAAAACUGCUUUGCCACUAACUCAGAACAAAGCAAGGAAGUCUAGUCUCACCACUCCUGUUCAACACUGCCCAUCCAGAAAAUCCCAGGGAAUCUACCAAAACAACCUCUUUGAACUAAUAGGUCAUAAGAUAUAAGAUCAACACACAAAUCAAUCUUCUGGACUCCAUCUCCUGUUCUAUUGAUCUAUGUGUUCAUUUUUGUGCCAAUACUAUACUGUUUUGACUAAUUACAGUUUGUAAUAUGCCUUAAAAUCUGGGAUUGUGAUACUUCCAGGUUUGUUGUAUAAUAUUGUAAUAUGUUGUAUAGUGCCAGAUGGUGGUGACCGCAGUUAUGGUAAACAUUGGGUAAUGUGGAGAAUUGUCGAAUCAAUAUUUUUGAAAGAGUGCUGACAAUACUGACCCCAUCACUGACUGUGUGUUCCAGGCCCCUUGGUGAUUAGCUUACAUACCUUGGAAAUGCCCAUCAAGGUAGUACCACGAGCACUAACUGAAGUAGCCGUCAGUUAGGUGCUUGCAAGCCCUUUGAGGAACACGCAGACCCUUUGCUCUCACUACAGUGCCCCUUUUGUGUGGCCCCUCGCUCUAUAAAAUCUGUGGACUAAGGACUGAAUUUUGUGGAGCGUAACUAUGCAGGUGACAUGGAUCAUCCUCCACCGGAUCCUUCCUGUCAGUAAGUUUCCCUAAGUAAAACUGUGUAAACUGUAUGGAGUGGCCUGCUUUAUUUUCCAGUCUCAAAGUGGCUUCUCAGUUUGGGGGACACUUUCCUGUCUCUUCUCUACCUUCUAACAAUGUUAUAUGAUGUGGGAAUAAUGGGGUUCAGAGCCCAUGGCCAAGAAAGAAUUCUUGAGACAUCUUCAGUGCAAAAAGGUGGUUUUAUUAAAGCACAGAGACAGGACCCAUGGGCAGAAAGAGCUACACUAGGGUUGUGAGCAGUGGCUGAUUAUAUAUUUUCAGAUUGGGAGGGGGUUAGGGAUAGCGUAAGUCUAUAAGGAGUUUUGGAAGCAAGGUUUCCAGGACUUGAAGGGGGCUAGCUGUUGUUAGGAAAAUGUCAUUUAUUACUGUCUAGGGAAACCUCAGUCAUGAGACCCUCCAGAUGUAUAUCAGUGGGCCAUAUCCUUGGAGGAUGAUUGCUAACAUCUAUCUUGAGGGGAGGGAACAGAGAUAAAGGAUGUUUCCAAAGGAAUUUUUAUAUGUUAAAGUAGACUUACAGGAUCCUGGGGGGUCAGGAUGAUAUUAAGCUAAGAUUGCCUUUUGCCUUUAGCAAAGUGUUAGCAUCGAGGCAGCUGAGCUCCCAAAGGAAGGUCACUCUGCCUGUUUCAAAGAUUUGUCAGUGAGUUGUAGAUAGUAGGGAAAUUUAACUUGUUCUUAUUGCCUUUGUUUCCCACAUCAUUGCACACCUGAAAUUAACAUAACAUUGAAUGUCAAUUUUACUUCAAUAAUAAUAAAAAAUGUAUCUUCAACUGCA
Molecule: long non-coding RNA, 2526 nt
Organism: Felis catus (domestic cat)
Lineage: Eukaryota; Metazoa; Chordata; Mammalia; Carnivora; Felidae
Exons: 2
Source: RefSeq, a predicted model, not a curated record